UAGUCCACGCCGUAAACGAUGGGUACUUGAUUUUGCGGGACUUGACCCCUGCAGAGUCGGAGCUAACGCGUUAAGUACCCCGCCUGGGGAGUACGGUCGCAAGACUAAAACUCAAAGGAAUUGACGGGGGCCCGCACAAGCGGUGGAUCAUGUGGUUUAAUUCGAAGCAACGCGAAGAACCUUACCUGGGUUUGACAUUUACAGACAACUAUAGAGAUAUAGCCUUUGUAGCAAUACAACUGUAGGACAGGUGCUGCAUGGCUGUCGUCAACUCGUGUGGUGACAUGUUGGGUUAAGUCCCGCAACGAGCGCAACCCUCGCCCUUAGUUGCCAGCAUUUAGUUGGGCACUCUAAGGGAACCGCCGGUGAUAAGCCGGAGGAAGGUGGGGAUGACGUCAAGUCCUCAUGGCCCUUACGGGAUGGGCUACACACGUGCUACAAUGGCAGUGACAAUGGGUUAAUCCCCAAAAGCUGUCUCAGUUCGGAUUGUUCUCUGCAACUCGAGAGCAUG
RNAcentral lists this ribosomal RNA (511 nucleotides) under uncultured bacterium. Its description in RNAcentral is "bacterial SSU rRNA". It matches the Rfam family "Bacterial small subunit ribosomal RNA", at positions 791 to 1322 of the family's 1533-position model. The record is from RNAcentral.